Molecule: ribosomal RNA, 253 nt
Filed under: uncultured bacterium
Lineage: Bacteria
Description: partial 16S ribosomal RNA
Rfam family: Bacterial small subunit ribosomal RNA
Source: RNAcentral
CACGUAGGGGGCGAGCGUUGUCCGGAUUCAUUGGGCGUAAAGCGCGCGCAGGCGGCUCGGCAAGUCGGGUGUGAAAACCUGGGGCUCAACCCCGGGCGUGCAUCCGAUACUGCCGGGCUUGAGGCAGGUAGGGGAGAUCGGAAUUCCUGGUGUAGCGGUGAAAUGCGCAGAUAUCAGGAAGAACACCCGUGGCGAAGGCGGCUCUCUGGUACGUGACUGACGCUGAGACGCGAAAGCGUGGGGAGCAAACAGG